GGGGAAUAUUGGGCAAUGGAGGAAACUCUUACCCAGCAAUGCCGCGUGAAGGAAGAAGGUUUUCGGAUUGUAAACUUCUGAUAUAGGUGACGAAGAAUGACGGUAGCCUAUAAGGAAGCCCCGGCAAACUAUGUGCCAGCAGCCGCGGUAAUACAUAGGGGGCGAGCGUUGUCCGGAAUGACUGGGCGUAAAGGGAGUGUAGGGGGUUGUGUAAGUUAUAUGUGAAAGCCCGGGGCUUAACUCCGGAAUUGCAUAUAAGACUGCAUGACUUGAGUGUGGGAGAGGAAAGUGGAAUUCCUAGUGUAGCGGUGGAAUGCGUAGAUAUUAGGAGGAACACCAGCGGCGAAGGCGGCUUUCUGGACCAUAACUGACGCUGAGGCUCGAAAGCGUGGGGAGCAAAC
Molecule: ribosomal RNA, 401 nt
Filed under: uncultured bacterium
Lineage: Bacteria
Description: bacterial SSU rRNA
Rfam family: Bacterial small subunit ribosomal RNA
Source: RNAcentral